RNAcentral lists this ribosomal RNA (253 nucleotides) under uncultured bacterium. RNAcentral describes it as "partial 16S ribosomal RNA". It matches the Rfam family "Bacterial small subunit ribosomal RNA", at positions 524 to 776 of the family's 1533-position model. The record is from RNAcentral.
UACGUAGGGUGCGAGCGUUGUCCGGAAUUAUUGGGCGUAAAGGGCUCGUAGGCGGUUUGUCACGUCGGGAGUGAAAACUCAGGGCUUAACCCUGAGCCUGCUUCCGAUACGGGCUGACUAGAGGUAUGCAGGGGAGAACGGAAUUCCUGGUGUAGCGGUGAAAUGCGCAGAUAUCAGGAGGAACACCGGUGGCGAAGGCGGUUCUCUGGGCAUUACCUGACGCUGAGGAGCGAAAGUGUGGGGAGCGAACAGG